UACGAAGGGGGCUAGCGUUGUUCGGAAUUACUGGGCGUAAAGCGCACGUAGGCGGCUUUGCAAGUCGGAUGUGAAAUCCCUCGGCUCAACCAAGGAAGUGCAUCCGAAACUGCAGAGCUUGAGUACUUAAGAGGAUCGCGGAAUUCCCGGUGUAGAGGUGAAAUUCGUAGAUAUCGGGAGGAACACCAGUGGCGAAGGCGGCGAUCUGGGAAGAUACUGACGCUGAGGUGCGAAAGCGUGGGGAGCAAACAGG
RNAcentral lists this ribosomal RNA (253 nucleotides) under uncultured bacterium. RNAcentral's name for it is "partial 16S ribosomal RNA". It matches the Rfam family "Bacterial small subunit ribosomal RNA", at positions 524 to 776 of the family's 1533-position model. The record is from RNAcentral.